UACGUAGGGGGCAAGCGUUGUCCGGAAUCAUUGGGCGUAAAGCGCGUGUAGGCGGCCCGAUAAGUCCGCUGUGAAAACUCGAGGCUCAACUUCGAGCUGUCGGUGGAAACUUUCUGGCUAGAGUCCGGAAGAGGAGAAUGGAAUUCCUGGUGUAGCGGUGAAAUGCGCAGAUAUCAGGAAGAACACCCGUGGCGAAGGCGGUUCUCUGGGACGGUACUGACGCUGAGACGCGAAAGCGUGGGGAGCGAACAGG
This 253-nucleotide ribosomal RNA is filed under the name uncultured bacterium. Its description in RNAcentral is "partial 16S ribosomal RNA". It matches the Rfam family "Bacterial small subunit ribosomal RNA", at positions 524 to 776 of the family's 1533-position model. The record is from RNAcentral.